AUGCCACCCCACCCUUUCUUUCGUGAUUUCUUGAAUUACUUCGGUGCUCAACUCCACCACCUUCCUCUGAACACCAUAGCGUACCUUGCCGCAUUCGUUUCCAUGUGUGAAAACUUCCUGGGUUGCCAGCCGCAUUGGGAGUUGUUUAAGCACAUCUUCACAUGUCGCUCUCAGUCGGUGAAAAAGGCUUCUCUUGACGGAGAGAGAACCCACGUGACCCAACUGUGUGGUGGAUUAGGGAUCCAGAUGAGGGGUAGGAGCGCUUUCCCGACGAUGACCUUUCCUGAUUCCGUCAGAUGGUUCUACUGCAAUGAUAUCCCUUGCACCGGCUCGUCGACUAGUCUUCUCCCUUAUACGACCGAGAGGGUCAAUCUUCCUUCGUCACUGACGAUGGACAAGGAAGUAAAGACGAAUGUGGGGAUCCUAGUGACCGCUGUAGUCUAA
This 444-nucleotide ribosomal RNA is filed under the name Triticum aestivum (bread wheat). RNAcentral's name for it is "partial small subunit ribosomal RNA". Lineage: Eukaryota; Viridiplantae; Streptophyta; Magnoliopsida; Poales; Poaceae. The record is from RNAcentral.